CUGUAGGUCUAGCUGUAGUGCGUUGAGUUUCAGGCCUUUUUUCUGCAGAUUUCGAAGGAGAGAGCCCUAAGGCGAGCUGGGAAUUUGUCCCACAUGGGCAGCUCCUGGUUGGUUGAGGAUACGCAUUUCAAGGCUUUGACGUCACAAACAGUGUCCUCUGGGCAGCAGUGGAUUUUGUCAUCACAGCAUACAGCCUACAGAAAAUAUGCAUAAUGG
This 216-nucleotide long non-coding RNA is filed under the name Danio rerio (zebrafish). Its description in RNAcentral is "si:dkey-151m15.6 (ENSDARG00000097308.2)". The record is from RNAcentral. Lineage: Eukaryota; Metazoa; Chordata; Actinopteri; Cypriniformes; Danionidae.